GGAGGCUGUGGAGCUGGAGGCUGGGUGAUAGGUAGGGUGCGGUGGUGGGCGGGAAUGAUUGGGAGGAAAGAGCUUGUAGGCGGUUUGUCGCGUCUGCUGUGAAAAUCCGGGGCUCAACCCCGGACUUGCAGUGGGUACGGGCAGACUAGAGUGUGGUAGGGGAGACUGGAAUUCCUGGUGUAGCGGUGAAAUGCGCAGAUAUCAGGAGGAACACCGAUGGCGAAGGCAGGUCUCUGGGCCACUACUGACGCUGAGAAGCGAAAGCAUGGGGAGCGAACAGGAUUAGAUACCCUAGUAGUC
RNAcentral lists this ribosomal RNA (300 nucleotides) under uncultured Prevotella sp. RNAcentral describes it as "bacterial SSU rRNA". The stretch from base 52 to 300 matches the Rfam family "Bacterial small subunit ribosomal RNA", at positions 547 to 795 of the family's 1533-position model. The record is from RNAcentral. Lineage: Bacteria; Pseudomonadati; Bacteroidota; Bacteroidia; Bacteroidales; Prevotellaceae.